UGAGAUUCUAAUGGAGCAUACAAAGUAGCACUUUAGAUCAUUAACCAGAGGUAUUGAAGGCACAGCAGCCAGAGUAGACAACCGUUAAAAGAACUUUUCUGCAAGUUUAUAAUCAAAAUCACCAGGUACCACCAUAAUAGAAAUAACAACACUUGUACUGAUACAGGGUAAAAUGAAGAAGGAUUUUUAAGAGUAUAUGAGGUUUGUUUCCUUAAAGGUUGUUUGGGGGCUCUGAAGAACUGAGCCUCUGCCUUGCUGGUGCAUGGACAGCAAGACCCUAUCUAAAAAGGAUUGACAUCGUUGGAAGAGUGGAUGUCUUUUGAGAGAGAAUCGGUGAGAUGAAACCAGCUUUAGCGCAUCAAAAUCCACACGGGAUGUCUCUGUAAAAUAAA
Mauremys reevesii (Reeves's turtle) is the source of this 392-nucleotide long non-coding RNA. RefSeq lists it as uncharacterized. The transcript is spliced from 3 exons. NCBI's taxonomy places the organism in Eukaryota, Metazoa, Chordata, Testudines, Geoemydidae. The record is from RefSeq and is a predicted model, not a curated record.